CUACUGAUGAUGAGUCCCAGACCAGGACGAAACGACUGUCCAGUAC
This 46-nucleotide non-coding RNA is filed under the name Trichobilharzia regenti. The record is from RNAcentral. Lineage: Eukaryota; Metazoa; Platyhelminthes; Trematoda; Strigeidida; Schistosomatidae.